Molecule: ribosomal RNA, 485 nt
Filed under: uncultured bacterium
Lineage: Bacteria
Description: partial 16S ribosomal RNA
Rfam family: Bacterial small subunit ribosomal RNA
Source: RNAcentral
AUUGAACGCUGGCGGCAGGCCUAACACAUGCGAGUCGAGCGGAUGAAGGGAGCUUGCUCCUGGAUUCAGCGGCGGACGGGUGAGUAAUGCCUAGGAAUCUGCCUGGUAGUGGGGGAUAACGUCCGGAAACGGGCGCUAAUACCGCAUACGUCCUGAGGGAGAAAGUGGGGGAUCUUCGGACCUCACGCUAUCAGAUGAGCCUAGGUCGGAUUAGCUAGUUGGUGGGGUAAAGGCCUACCAAGGCGACGAUCCGUAACUGGUCUGAGAGGAUGAUCAGUCACACUGGAACUGAGACACGGUCCAGACUCCUACGGGAGGCAGCAGUGGGGAAUAUUGGACAAUGGGCGAAAGCCUGAUCCAGCCAUGCCGCGUGUGUGAAGAAGGUCUUCGGAUUGUAAAGCACUUUAAGUUGGGAGGAAGGGCAGUAAGUUAAUACCUUGCUGUUUUGACGUUACCAACAGAAUAAGCACCGGCUAACUUCGUGC